Non-coding RNA from Bacteroides fluxus YIT 12057, 149 nucleotides. The record is from Rfam. NCBI's taxonomy places the organism in Bacteria, Pseudomonadati, Bacteroidota, Bacteroidia, Bacteroidales, Bacteroidaceae.
CCCGUUGUUUCGUCAACGGUAGCCUAUGGACAGAUGCACCAAUAGUAAUAUACUGUAUCAAAGCUGUCCAGACAAGGUAGCCCUUCCGAAAGGAGCAGUCAGAACCGUGAGGGAAAGACAAUGGCUGUUAGUAUCAUACAGUCAGGGAG